UGCUGAGCAACCUCCCCUUGAUUUUUUUUGUUGUUCCUUCUUUGAUACAGAACCCUUUAUUGCAAGCUAUUUGUCAUGAAGCAGUUCUGCACUGGUCUGACCCCUGCAAAAGAAACUCAGUAAACCAAGAGAUGAGGUUUACAGAGAGGUCUGACAUCUACUUUAUCUUUCUCUCCUUGGAAAUGAGCAUCUCUGUAGCACAGACUGGAAAAAGAUUUCAGGACUACUGUAAUGCAAAGACUGAUGAGAUAUUUUGAUCAUCCAGGGCAUUUCAAGAAACAGACAUUUUCAACUGUCUACAAAUGGCUGCUGUUAUAGAUGUCAUUUUCCUCUGGGAUAGAGAUAGAUAUGCACUCUGAGAGGAUCAAGAACAAGUACCAAAUUUCUCCCCUGCUGCUGAAGAGGAUUCUGAAUGGUGAUUUCCAAGUGAGCAAGUAUACUGGUCACCUUGUUGUGUGUCAGUCUAUUUGGUUAUGUCUUGCUGUGUUUCUAUAUAAUAUAUGCUCAUUAAUAUAUUUUAUUUGUGUCUCAGCCGACAUUUUUCAUUAUUAUUUUUAUCCUGUAAACAACUUUUGUUUCAAAAGUCUGCAUGCAGUUUCUUCUCAUAGUUUACCAACUUUUUCCUUGUUUUCAGAAUACCUUUCUCAAGUGCUUAGCUAUCUUCCCCAGGUAUUAGGCACACACUGAAUUGUCUUUAUUAAUGCCCUACAUCAAGCAUAUGUACGAAUCAUACCUCUCAGGCACUAUGUAGAACAUUUUAUUGUUUGAAUAGUCUCAUGGUACAUUGUGUUUCACAUGGGUGAUGUGAGAACACACAUAUCUUGGUGUGAUACAACAAGCCUGAACCUUGUUUCAGUUAUCUCAACACUCCAUAACUCAGCUGCAAGCAGUUAAUUUUAUGCAACUACUCAGCCCUUCUCUACAGUGUAUCUGACAUUAACUUUCUUACACAAUAAGAUCUGACCUGAGGAGUUUGGACUUUCUUGUUUUAACAUUUGUGUUAAAAACUAAGACACAACUUUGAGACUGGAAUUUUACCCUCACUGUACCAUUUGACUUAUGGAAGAAAAAGAAGGAAAAAUACUGUACUUCCAAUUAUAGCACUUAGCUGUUCAUUUUUGCAAUCAAAUGGAGAUUAGUGAUGUGGGUAAUAUUAAACAUCUGGCUGUCAUUUCUUAUCUCUAUGCAUUGUGAAAUAAAUUAGUGAAUGCUUUAGGAUAUUUCUGCUAG
Molecule: long non-coding RNA, 1230 nt
Filed under: Cyanistes caeruleus (blue tit)
Lineage: Eukaryota; Metazoa; Chordata; Aves; Passeriformes; Paridae
Description: lncRNA (ENSCCEG00000003397.1)
Source: RNAcentral